Molecule: ribosomal RNA, 446 nt
Filed under: uncultured prokaryote
Description: bacterial SSU rRNA
Rfam family: Bacterial small subunit ribosomal RNA
Source: RNAcentral
UCGAGAAUCUUCGGCAAUGGGCGCAAGCCUGACCGAGCGACGCCGCGUGCGGGAUGAAGGCCUUCGGGUUGUAAACCGCUGUCAGUUGGGAGGAAAUGCGUGGGGGUUCUCCCCCAUGUUUGACCGAUCUUCAGAGGAAGUACGGGCUAAGUUCGUGCCAGCAGCCGCGGUAACACGAACCGUACGAACGUUAUUCGGAAUCACUGGGCUUAAAGAGUGCGUAGGCGGCUUUACAGGUGGGGUGUGAAAGCCCACGGCUCAACCGUGGAACUGCGCCCCAAACCGUAAGGCUUGAGGGAGAUAGAGGUGAGCGGAACUGAUGGUGGAGCGGUGAAAUGCGUUGAUAUCAUCAGGAACACCAGCGGCGAAGGCGGCUCACUGGGUCUUUUCUGACGCUGAGGCACGAAAGCUAGGGGAGCGAACGGGAUUAGAUACCCCCGUAGUCC